UUUCCGUAGGUGAACCUGCGGAAGGAUCAUUACCGAGUGCGGGCCCUCUGGGUCCAACCUCCCAUCCGUGUCUCUUGUACCCUGUUGCUUCGGCGGGCCCGCCUUUUGGCCGCCGGGGGGCUUCCCGCCCCCGGGCCCGCGCCCGCCGGAGACUCCAACACGAACACUGUCUGAAGGUUGCCGUCUGAGUUUUCAUAUACGAAAAAUCGUUAAAACUUUCAACAACGGAUCUCUUGGUUCCGGCAUCGAUGAAGAACGCAGC
Molecule: unclassified non-coding RNA, 262 nt
Filed under: uncultured fungus
Lineage: Eukaryota; Fungi
Description: sequence contains ITS1, 5.8S rRNA gene
Rfam family: 5.8S ribosomal RNA (bases 214-262)
Source: RNAcentral